Long non-coding RNA from Passer domesticus (house sparrow), 1155 nucleotides. RefSeq lists it as uncharacterized. The transcript has 3 exons. Lineage: Eukaryota; Metazoa; Chordata; Aves; Passeriformes; Passeridae. The record is from RefSeq and is a predicted model, not a curated record.
CUCUGUGUGCCUCCCACAACAGCAGCCUCAUAGGAGAGACCCUGCAACAGCCUGGUGUCCCUGUGAAAUCCAGAGAGGCAGCAGGGCACAGCAUGGCACAGCCCCAUCCACACCUAGAACUGGAGGCCAAGGUGCUCAUGAAGGGAUAGCAUAAACCUGAUUUCUCUGUUUGGAUGUGAUCCCUGAAAUAACAUCAAGUUUUCUCAGCUGUUCAUGCUAAAAAAAUGUGCAAGACAGGCCUGUAAAUGAUCAUGGACCCAGAGCUUUACUUGUGGAGCAGUGUAGAUGUAGCCAUAUGGCCUAGCAGAACAAGGGAAAGAGUUACUUCAUUAUUACGGAGUUACUAGCUGUUGCUGCACAUCUUGGCCUGUUUCCACAAAAAUAGGAUAAUAACUUUACCAGAUGCUGACAAGUCUUUUGCACAGUGGGAGCAAGUGUAUCUGAAAUAGUGGAACAACAUGAAGAAUGAUGCCAUCAAAACUGUUUCCUUAGGAAAACACUGAGACUCUUCCUUAGGGUUCAAAAUAAAAGAAUUCAGGAAGAGUGUUGGAAGAUGAGAGCAGGAUAUCUUUGGAAGAUUAAUUACUGAAUGUGGAAAAAGAGUCUUGAAGAGUAUCAGUGCUUCCCUCCUCUGAAAAGUAUUUCUCAUGACCAUCAAGAUUAAUCAUAAGCUACAGUUCCUCUGUGUGCUGUCAGCUGAAGUCUUGGAGCUUUAAUUGUAGGCUACAGUAUUAGAAAAUAGAUUACUUUGAUAAUUUGACAGAUUCAUAGUAAAAACAGAAUAAAAAGUAUAAUCAACAAAAUUUUGGAGAUAGCAUGAAACAGAACCCCCUUCUGUUUCACUGUAAAAGUUUUAUGGGAUUUUUCUUUUUUAUGUCCUUUUCAAUGUAUUAACCCAUUUUCCUUUCAAUUUUUUAAUCCAUGGUUUAUAUUGUGCAUAACAGAAUGUAUUUCUAAUUACUUUAACUGUCUCAGUGUAGUCAUAUACAGAGUCAUAAGUGCAUUAACGUCUUCAAACCUGUUUGAUAAAAACUAUUUGUUAAUUCAAAUUGUUAACAAUGUAGUCAUUAAAAUACACUACAUUGUUUCUUUUCUUCUAAUGAUCAAUAGUUAAAUAUAGCACAGUUACAACAUCAAACAUCUGAAUAAUAAACU